Molecule: ribosomal RNA, 468 nt
Filed under: uncultured bacterium
Lineage: Bacteria
Description: partial 16S ribosomal RNA
Rfam family: Bacterial small subunit ribosomal RNA
Source: RNAcentral
GACGAACGCUGGCGGCGUGCUUAACACAUGCCAGUCGAACGGAAAGGCCCUGCUUUUGUGGGGUGCUCGAGUGGCGAACGGGUGAGUAACACGUGAGUAACCUGCCCUUGACUUUGGGAUAACUUCAGGAAACUGGGGCUAAUACCGGAUAGGAGCUCCUGCUGCAUGGUGGGGGUUGGAAAGUUUCGGCGGUUGGGGAUGGACUCGCGGCUUAUCAGCUUGUUGGUGGGGUAGUGGCUUACCAAGGCUUUGACGGGUAGCCGGCCCGAGAGGGUGACCGGCCACAUUGGGACUGAGAUACGGCCCAGACUCCUACGGGAGGCAGCAGUGGGGAAUAUUGCACAAUGGGCGGAAGCCUGAUGCAGCAACGCCGCGUGCGAGAUGACGGCCUUCGGGUUGUAAACCGCUUUCGCCUGUGACGAAGCGUGAGUGACGGUAAUGGGUAAAGAAGCACCGGCUAACUACGUG